RNA transcript from Rhodamnia argentea, 1869 nucleotides. It is a transcript of the gene named cell division control protein 48 homolog B, with no coding region annotated. Lineage: Eukaryota; Viridiplantae; Streptophyta; Magnoliopsida; Myrtales; Myrtaceae. The transcript has 15 exons. The record is from RefSeq and is a predicted model, not a curated record.
ACCCUGAAUCCCACUUGAAGUCCCUUGGGUCGCCCACACGCGCGCGCAAACGCAGGGGACUAAAGAAUGACGAGCAGAGGCAACCGUCGCGGCGUCGAUGAACCUGACAACAGCAGUGGCAAUGGUGGCGAUGACCGGUGGAGAGCUGAAGAAGCCAUCGGCGGCAACCGAGAAGCGCUGGAGGCUCUCAGAGAGCUCAUCACCUUCCCUAUUCUCUACUCCCGCGAAGCUCAGAGGCUUGGCCUCAAGUGGCCGCGAGGCUUGCUUCUCUACGGACCACCGGGCACUGGAAAGACAAGCUUGGUUCGUGCAGUUGUACAAGAGUGUUCUGCGCAGUUAACCAUUAUCAGCCCACACUCUGUUCACAAAGCUCAUGCUGGAGAAAGUGAGAGUAUUCUGCGAGAAUCUUUUUCUGAAGCAUCUGCUAUUGCAAUGUCGGGCAAGCCAUCGGUUAUCUUCAUAGAUGAAGUAGAUGUGCUCUGCCCUCAUCGUAAUUCGAGAAGAGAGCAAGAUGUCCGUUUGACGUCUCAAUUAUGUACCCUGAUGGACUCUAUUCAGCCAUUACCAGGAUCAUUGCCACAAUUAGUUGUUGUUGCAUCGACUAACAGAGUGGAUGCAAUUGACCCUGCACUUAGAAGGUAUGGGCGUUUUGAUGUUGAAAUAGAAGUUACAACACCCAAUGAAGAAGAGCGCUUUCAAGUUCUCCAGCUGUACACAAAAAAAAUUCCUUUGGAUCCUACUGUUGACUUGAGAUCCGUCGCUCUAAUGUGCAAUGGAUAUGUUGGAGCUGAUUUAGAAGCUUUAUGCCGUGAAGCAACUGCUUUUGCUCUUAAAAGGUUUUCAGAUGUAGAGCAGGCACUUUUGCUUACAAUGGAAGAUUGGGACUAUGCUAGAUCUAUUGUUGGCCCAAGUAUAACAAGGGGUGUUACUGUGGAAAUUCCUAAGGUAUCAUGGGAUGAUAUUGGAGGAUAUAAGGAAUUGAAGAGGAAAAUUCAGCAAGCUGUUGAGUGGCCUAUCAAACAUUCUGCUGCUUUUUCAAGGCUGGGAAUAUCACCAAUACGUGGAGUACUUCUGCAUGGACCUCCAGGGUGCUCAAAAACUACUCUUGCGAAAGCCACUGCUCAUGCUACCCAAGCUUCUUUUUUUUCCUUGAGUGGAGCAGAAUUAUAUUCAAUGUAUGUCGGAGAGGGGGAAGCCUUAUUGAGGAAUACCUUCAGGAGAGCUCGUCUUGCGGCACCGAGCAUCAUAUUUUUUGAUGAGGCUGAUGUUGUGGCAGGCAAGCGUGGAGGUAAAUCAAGCAGCAAUGCCAUAGUUGGAGAGAGGCUAUUGUCCACAUUGUUGACUGAGAUGGACGGUUUAGAGCUGGCAAAUGGAAUCAUUGUGUUAGCUGCUACCAAUCGGCCCCAUGCAAUUGAUGGUGCACUUAUGCGGCCUGGACGUUUUGAUUUGGUGCUCUAUGUACCACCGCCAGAUUUGGUGUCUCGCCGUGAGAUAUUGCGCGUGCAUACUCGAAACAUGAAGAUAGGAAAUGAUGUUGAUCUCAGAGAUUUAGCAGAACACACGGAACGGUUCACGGGAGCCGAAUUGGAGAGCCUGUGCAGGGAAGCAGGAAUGGUCGCUCUAAGAGAAAACAUACAUGCAACAGCCGUUUAUGACCGUCAUUUCCAAAUCGUUAGGGAGUCCUUGAAGCCAGCAUUGUCUGAAGCAGACAUUUAUUCGUAUGAAUCGUUCCGAAGGACUCGAUAGCUGAGGCCUUGUGACUGUACGAUCCAAACUGACAUGACCCUACUUGAAGCCGCACAUCAGUUCACCUGGAUCGGGGCAUUCUGGAUUAUGCCUCCUGGAAUCUGAAUAUGGUUGCAUCAUUUC